GUGCAGCCGCCGCGGUCAUACCGGCAGCCCGAGUGAUGGCCGAUAUUAUUGGGCCUAAAGCGUCCGUAGCUGGCCGAACAAGUCCGUCGGGAAAUCCACGUGCUUAACACGUGGGCGACCGGCGGAAACUGUUCGGCUUGGGGCCGGAGGACCCGAGGGGUACGUCCGGGGUAGGAGUGAAAUCCUGUAAUCCUGGACGGACCGCCGGUGGCGAAAGCGCCUCGGGAAGACGGACCCGACAGUGAGGGACAAAAGCUGGGAUCUCGAACCGGAUUAGAAAUCCCGGUAGUCC
This 292-nucleotide ribosomal RNA is filed under the name uncultured bacterium. RNAcentral describes it as "partial 16S ribosomal RNA". It matches the Rfam family "Archaeal small subunit ribosomal RNA", at positions 455 to 747 of the family's 1478-position model. The record is from RNAcentral.